Molecule: transfer RNA, 90 nt
Filed under: Endomicrobium sp.
Lineage: Bacteria; Pseudomonadati; Elusimicrobiota; Endomicrobiia; Endomicrobiales; Endomicrobiaceae
Description: tRNA-Ser
Rfam family: tRNA
About the family: Transfer RNA (tRNA) molecules are approximately 80 nucleotides in length. Their secondary structure includes four short double-helical elements and three loops (D, anti-codon, and T loops).
Source: RNAcentral
GGAGAGAUGGCCGAGUGGUUUAAGGCGAUAGUCUUGAAAACUAUUAUAGGGGAAACUCUAUCGGGGGUUCAAAUCCCUCUCUCUCCGCCA